This 417-nucleotide long non-coding RNA is filed under the name Rosa chinensis. RNAcentral describes it as "sRNA RchiOBHm_Chr6g0276551". The record is from RNAcentral. Lineage: Eukaryota; Viridiplantae; Streptophyta; Magnoliopsida; Rosales; Rosaceae.
AGAAGGAAAGAAAGAAAGGGAGAUCCGUUCAAACCGUCGACAUUUUAGAGAAACCUCAAGUUGAGAAAAAUGCUAGGGGGAUUGAGAUGAAGCUGCUGCCAAAAUUUGGUGACCAUCGGAGAAGUUGACCGCCGAGUGAACAGUACCGCGCGUGAACAGUGCUGUGCGUGAACAGUGGACGACGUACCGAGCUAUUGCUCGAUGACGGAACACGAAUGCGUGAUCGUCAGAAUAGUACUUUUGCAGGCGAAUUAGUGAGGUUGGGCGUACACGGAGUUGAGGCAUAGUCAACAGCAUGGCUUCCGCGUUUGCCUUUGAGUUAGGUUGUCCUUAUUUACUUUUCUAUUAGAAUUGCUCUGAUUACCUAUGGGAUUUAUGUUUUUCAAGUUGAGAUUUGUGUUUUGUGAAUUGGAGAUU